Molecule: transfer RNA, 76 nt
Filed under: Patescibacteria group bacterium
Lineage: Bacteria
Description: tRNA-Gly
Rfam family: tRNA
About the family: Transfer RNA (tRNA) molecules are approximately 80 nucleotides in length. Their secondary structure includes four short double-helical elements and three loops (D, anti-codon, and T loops).
Source: RNAcentral
GCGGGAAUAGCUCAGUUGGUAGAGCAUCUGCUUCCCAAGCAGAAGGUCGUGGGUUCGAAACCCAUUUCCCGCUCCA